Molecule: ribosomal RNA, 660 nt
Filed under: Triticum aestivum (bread wheat)
Lineage: Eukaryota; Viridiplantae; Streptophyta; Magnoliopsida; Poales; Poaceae
Description: partial small subunit ribosomal RNA
Source: RNAcentral
AUGGAGUGGAGCUUCAACAAUUCCGGCAUUGAUGUAGAUGAUGAACUUUGGGUGGUUAAUGUGCUGCCAAUUAAUGGUCUAGGGGAUAAUGUGCAAAGGAUAAUUGGACUGUCUGAUAACAUGGAGGGCGACACCGAUAUUGAGGACUUUUAUCCACUACUAGAUGAUACACCUGUUAUUCCUAUUGAAGAUAGCACACUUGAUUCUUGCAAUCCAUCAAAGAAGAGAGCAGAAGCAUGGCAGAAGAAGAAACUGAGGAAGGAUGCUAUUCUCGGUUCACAAGCAAAGUUGCGAGAUGUAACCAACACUCAAGCAUGUGAACUUUCAGAUCCAGGAAGUGAGGAUAUUGGAAUGGAUAUAAUAUCAAGCGAUGAUGAUGGCUUUGAACCUGCAAUAUCCGUUGCACCAAAAUGCAAGAAGAGUAGAGCACAACCACUUCCAACUAGAGUGUGGUAUGAUGAGGGCAGGUUGCUUGGAGGUGAACAACUCUGUUUGCAUAUGUGUUUUGUGAACAUGCAUCAAUACAGAAGAGCCUUGAAGAAUUAUCAUAUACUUCAAAGUAGAGACUAUAUGUAUCUUAGAAAUGAUAGAGAUCGGGUCAAUGUUUGUUGUGUGACUGAACUUUGCCAAUUCUAUAUGACCUGUUCAUGUUCAUGCUGA